ACAACGGUCCUUUUCAGGACUACACACCCCCAAGAAAGAUUACCA
Strongylocentrotus purpuratus (purple sea urchin) is the source of this 45-nucleotide non-coding RNA. NCBI's taxonomy places the organism in Eukaryota, Metazoa, Echinodermata, Echinoidea, Camarodonta, Strongylocentrotidae. The record is from Rfam.